Molecule: ribosomal RNA, 467 nt
Filed under: uncultured bacterium
Lineage: Bacteria
Description: partial 16S ribosomal RNA
Rfam family: Bacterial small subunit ribosomal RNA
Source: RNAcentral
GACAAACGCUGGCGGCGUGCUUAACACAUGCAAGUCGAACGGAAAGGCCUCUUUCGGGGGGUACUCGAGUGGCGAACGGGUGAGUAACACGUGAGUAACCUGCCCUUGACUUUGGGAUAACUUCAGGAAACUGGGGCUAAUACCGGAUAGGAGCUCCUGCUGCAUGGUGGGGGUUGGAAAGUUUCGGCGGUUGGGGAUGGACUCGCGGCUUAUCAGCUUGUUGGUGGGGUAGUGGCUUACCAAGGCUUUGACGGGUAGCCGGCCUGAGAGGGUGACCGGCCACAUUGGGACUGAGAUACGGCCCAGACUCCUACGGGAGGCAGCAGUGGGGAAUAUUGCACAAUGGGUGGAAGCCUGAUGCAGCAACGCCGUGUGCGGGAUGACGGCCUUCGGGUUGUAAACCGCUUUCGCUCAUGACGAAGCUUUGUGUGACGGUAGUGGGUAAAGAAGCACCGGCUAACUACGUG